Molecule: transfer RNA, 75 nt
Filed under: subsurface metagenome
Description: tRNA-Glu
Rfam family: tRNA
About the family: Transfer RNA (tRNA) molecules are approximately 80 nucleotides in length.
Source: RNAcentral
UUGGGGAGUAGUCUAACGGUAGGAUUUCUGGCUUUCAACUAGAAGGUAUGGGUUCGAUUCCCAUCUCCCCAGCCC